RNAcentral lists this ribosomal RNA (348 nucleotides) under Belisana sandakan. RNAcentral describes it as "partial 12S ribosomal RNA". Lineage: Eukaryota; Metazoa; Arthropoda; Arachnida; Araneae; Pholcidae. The record is from RNAcentral.
UUAUUAUAAAUACCUAAGAAGUAUUAAAAUAAAAAACCUUUAUAUAUUGGCGGUCUUAUUAUUUUAGAGAAACUCGCUUACUAAUUGAUAAUACUCAUUAAAUUUCACCUAAUCUACUCAAAUAAAUCAUUAAGCUUAUAUACCGCCGUUCAUAAUAGAUCUCACUAAAAAUUUAUACCUUACAAAUCUCACCAUCUUAUAAAAUCAGGUCAAGGUGUAGCUAAUAUUUAGGCCUAAGUAAGUUACAUUAAAAAUAAUUUAAGGAUAAAAUAAUAAUAUUACAAUUAAAAAAGAAUUUAUAUGUACAUUUAAACUAAAAUUUUAUUUCGAAACAUAAUACUAAGACGC